UGAGAAUCUCAAAAAAGUUGAGAGGGUUAGUGCUAAAUAAUAUUUACUCCUUCGAUGCUAUACUUCAGCCAUAUGCCAACACCCUCACUCCAGCCUGAGUUUUAAGGAUGGAUAGAGCUGCUUUGUGGUCUGAACUGUUCAUCUCGUACAACAGACAGAACAUCAACCUAUAAUUGCUGACUGGCGAGCCGGAGUGCAGCAGGACAGGCAGAGGACAAGGGAUAAGGACAUGCUGAAGCACAUCAACCAGCAGAAUACCUGACUGGUCUUGUUUUGCUCUCCUCUUCUGUACACAGACACACUCUGAUUGAGAGAAACACCACCGACCAUUGGGGUAACGGUAUCGUAUUUGGCUAUACUGACAACUACAGAAAGGAGAUGCUGGGCAACGUUCUAGAAUGACAAGGUAUCUUUUUAGUGGGGACUGAAUUUGCCAUCUUACUAGCAAAGAAAGCAGGGGGAACACUGCCAUGGCCUGGUGCUACCAAAUAUUCAUUGGCCAUCUGAAUUUUCAGGCUAGUAUUUCAACUAUCU
RNAcentral lists this long non-coding RNA (534 nucleotides) under Saimiri boliviensis boliviensis (Bolivian squirrel monkey). RNAcentral describes it as "lncRNA (ENSSBOG00000036787.1)". The record is from RNAcentral. Lineage: Eukaryota; Metazoa; Chordata; Mammalia; Primates; Cebidae.